RNAcentral lists this transfer RNA (82 nucleotides) under Brucella intermedia. RNAcentral's name for it is "tRNA-OTHER". Lineage: Bacteria; Pseudomonadati; Pseudomonadota; Alphaproteobacteria; Hyphomicrobiales; Brucellaceae. The record is from RNAcentral.
AAGCUUGGUGAAAUCUUUUGAAACUAGCCUGAUAUCAUUCGUAAUGAUGGGCUCGCGUGUUCGAGUCACGCAAGCGGCACCA